Long non-coding RNA from Orcinus orca (killer whale), 1637 nucleotides. RefSeq lists it as uncharacterized. Lineage: Eukaryota; Metazoa; Chordata; Mammalia; Artiodactyla; Delphinidae. The transcript has 3 exons. The record is from RefSeq and is a predicted model, not a curated record.
UCCAUUUGAUAGAUAUUUUUUGAUGGGCCACCCAAAGAUGAUGAGGAAAGAGCUCCUAUCUUUAAGGAGCUUCCAGUCUAGUGGGGGAUUAAGACACACAAGUACUUGUACAAAUUAUAACAAGAUCUUAGAGAUGGUAGAGAAAGAAAUAAUCAGUCUACCAGGUGGAGCUAGGAAAUGUUUCCCAGAAGAGGUCAGGCUAGGUCAUGAAUGGGUAUUGGAACUGUACCAGAAGGGAGAAAGGAGGCUUUCGAGGAACGGUGACAGCACGGUGCAAAGGCUGGGAUGUACGGAGGACCUUGGCUGGCCCUGGGAGUGGGGAGUAGUUCUCCGUGGCUGGAGCACAGUGUGUGUGGCCUUUAUGGUAGGAAGGACAGGCUUGGGCUCAGGGGUCCAGGGGCUUGGAGGACAGGCCGAGGAACUGGAUUCCAUCCUAACUGCCUCAGUAACGUGUCGUGUCUUCCCCUCUUCUCCAUGCCUGCUGUCACCUGCACAGUCCAGCUCCUGCCUGGAUACUACCGAAGCCUGCUAAUGGCUCUCUCUCAUCCAUUCUUGCUGCCUCCAAUCUGUUCUGAGGGAUCACGGCUGUUCUUAAAUCUCUUCAUUUGAGUUCCAGAAGAGGUAGAACUAAUCCAGACUAAAAGAGAAAGCGGAGCAGUGGUUGCCAGAGGAGGGGGGUAACUGCAAAGGAGCAUGGGGCAACUUUCUGAGUGAAAGAAACAUGCUGUGUCUUGAUGGUGGUGCUGGCUGCUCAUUGAACUGUACACUUUGAACAUGGGGGCAUUUUACUGUUUUUAAAUUAUACCUCAAUAAAGUUGAUUUCUAAAAAAAAAGACAACCUUUAUUUGCCCUGGGAGGAAGACCAGUACCCUGCCCCGUGGUACACCAGACCCCAACGCCUGCCGCUUUCCCCGGCCCGGCCUCACCUGCUUCUCCUGAUUGCAGGACUCACCGUGCCCUUCUCCUCACUGAGAACCGUGCCCGUCCUUUCUGACCAGGAUGCUCAGCCUGUCUCUGCUGCCCACUCAGCCACGCGGCCCAGCUGACUCCCGCUCGUCCUUCACGUUGUGGCUGAAAUUUCAGAUCCUGCAGGGUGCGGUUUCUGGACCCGCAGGCUCUGGUGCCCCUGCCCGCACUUCUGUGAAGCACUGAACACUUCUAUCACUCACCCUUGGGAAAGCCGACUGCCGUGUCCUGAGGCAACCUUGCUGAGAGGUCCAUGUGGCAAAGGACUGAGGCCUGCCAAAAACCACAUGAAUGAACUUAAAAGAAGAUUCCCACCUCACUCCAGGUCAGGCAUUCAGAUGAGAUCACAGCCUCAGCCAAUAGCUUGAUGCAGCCUCAUGAGAGACUUUGAGCCAGAGUUGCCUAGGAGCUGGUGAGCCUGGAAGCUUAUUUAGGAAGAGGAAAUGAAACUGAAAAGACACAGUAAGAUUCCUCUUUUUCUUGGAAGCAAGACACGAUAUGAAUAAUUCUCAUGCUGUCCAAUUAACUGCCUCAAGUACAAAUAGAAAAAAAAAUACACACUUGGUUAUUUGGAAGAAAUUGAAGAAAAAGCGAAGAACGGGAUGGUAGUUUCAACAAUAAAGCCCUAUACAAAUAACUUCCUUUCGGAUUUAAGACUUGUCUCCCGCAGA